Molecule: small nuclear RNA, 142 nt
Organism: Callithrix jacchus (white-tufted-ear marmoset)
Lineage: Eukaryota; Metazoa; Chordata; Mammalia; Primates; Cebidae
Gene: U4
Rfam family: U4 spliceosomal RNA
About the family: U4 small nuclear RNA (U4 snRNA) is a component of the major U2-dependent spliceosome. The structure of U4 snRNA from yeast and human has been reported. U4 snRNA presents a k-turn RNA motif in the 5p-SL related to recognition of Snu13 protein.
Source: Ensembl
AGCUUUGCACAGUGGCAGUAUCAUAAGCCAAUGAGGUUUAGCCGAGGUGCAAUUAUUGCUAAUUGAAAACUUUUCCCAAUACCCUGCCAUGACGACUUGAAAUAUAAUCAGCAUUGGCAAUUUUUGGCAGUCUCUACGGAGA